GCGUCUCUCCCUCCCUGGCUCACUUUCCUUUCUCUCUCCUCAGCUCUCUUCAUUUGUUUUUCACAUUCUCCAAAGUAUUAUCACAAUUUCUUCCUUUUUCAUACGCCUUUAAUAUUUCUAUUGCAUCUCAGACCUGAUACAUCCAGGUUUUUAGCUAAAUGUUGCUGUGUGUGUGUGUGUGUGUGUGUGUGUGUGUGUGUGUGUGUGUCUGUGUGUGUAUGUUUUAUUUCAUUAAGCAGAAUUUAGUCUGUGGAUUGUAUAUUUCAGAGGCAGCUCAGCUCUGUGUGUUUCAGCUUCUCUUCCCCUGGUACAUUGAGCUCUGGCCCCAGGCUCAGGCUGCCUGUGCAUGACAGGUAUAAGGCCAGCAUUCUGUGAUUCACCUGGAAUACACAAGUCCCCACUUCUUCCUCAUUUCUGUGCCUCUCUGGAGGGAACCCUGGCAGCCCUUGCCUCAGUUUCUGGGACAAUCCAGGCAGCUCUCCAUCACUGGAGAACACCAGAUGGAAUGGAUGGAGGCAAUUUUGCAGAAAGUGCUUUAAGAGCAGCUUCCUCAGUGGUCUUUCCAGCUGGAAGCAGAGCGUCCAGAAAGCACCGCAUUCUCAGCCCUGUUUCAUCGCCUCAAGAGCUACAGAUGGCUUCCCCAAGCACCUGAAGUCGAUGCUGCUUGCCUGGAUUGGAUAAGCUGCAAGCUGCAGAAACUCUUUUGUCUUUUCACAGUGCAACUCAGACUCCAGUUUCUUUCUGCCUUGAGAGUGAAAGAAAGGAGCGGAUACAAAGUAGGAAAGAGCCAGAAGGUGGAGAAAUUAAUGUUUAAUGCUUGAUACUCCCCGGGCCUGGCCAGCUGCUCAAAAAAGAUCCUGGCUGUGGAUAUAAUGAAGGCGUGAACUAUAAUAGUUGAACAAGGAAAUCAACUUGAACCAAAUUGUGAAGUUCUCUGCAAUGAAUUAUUAAAGCUCUUCUGAAAGGACUUGGAGUGAGCUGCCAGGCUGCAAGGGAUUGAAUCGAAAACCCCCUAACAGUUAAAGUAUCCAUUAGCUUCUCUACACUUAGCAUCCGUCAGAGAGAAGAUGGGCUGGGAGCCCCGGGCGAAUUUCUAACUAGCCUAAUGAGGAGAGAGAUUCUGGGAGCAAAAAAAGUUCAUUUGCUGAAUUUCCAGCAAGAAGUCACUUCAAUAUUGCUUCUAGGAAACACUGACAGGCUUUGUUGGUAAGAAAUCAUUAUGCUGAGAGAGAAAUGGGAUAUUGUUAUAUGAGGUUUUUAAAGAAAAUUCAUUUUGAUAGAUGUCUAACUGUGCAUUCAAUUAAAUUUCCUUCUCUUUCUUAAAAAUAGAUGUCAGGUAAUUGUACUCAAGUUCUGUAAGCUGAAAAGUGUUAUCCUUUCCU
Long non-coding RNA from Sapajus apella (tufted capuchin), 1382 nucleotides. RefSeq lists it as uncharacterized. The transcript has 3 exons. Lineage: Eukaryota; Metazoa; Chordata; Mammalia; Primates; Cebidae. The record is from RefSeq and is a predicted model, not a curated record.